RNAcentral lists this long non-coding RNA (431 nucleotides) under Dermacentor andersoni. RNAcentral's name for it is "uncharacterized LOC126548252". The record is from RNAcentral. Lineage: Eukaryota; Metazoa; Arthropoda; Arachnida; Ixodida; Ixodidae.
AACGCACGCACUUCUCGCUACAGUCGCUUUCGUCUGCGGCGGCUACCGCCGAGCGCGCUCGAGUUAUUGAUUGUUUCCUUCGACAGUGACAGCAAGCAAAUUACAACGGGCGCGCUCCCGUCAAGCGGGAGCAACACACUUGGUCUCAGCCCCCCCGCCACUGCUUCCCCCCAUUGUCCAUACGGAACAGUACACGAUCACGAUGCUAUGACCCCCUGGCGAUGCUAAGACACCCUGGCGCUGAUUCGACGUCUUCAAGCGCCACCAUACAGCAAGUGCACCGCCGCUGUUUCGUGCCAUUCCAGCUGUUCACGUGGUGGCGGUGCCUCUUUUUGGACAAGGUCUUUGCUUACGUCAUAAUACGGAAAGGGGGGUGCGGCAUUGGACCAACAGCACCAGCACUAAUAAAAUAUAACGAGCACUCUUUAAAA